This 495-nucleotide ribosomal RNA is filed under the name uncultured bacterium. RNAcentral describes it as "partial 16S ribosomal RNA". It matches the Rfam family "Bacterial small subunit ribosomal RNA", at positions 28 to 507 of the family's 1533-position model. The record is from RNAcentral.
GACGAACGCUGGCGGCGUGCCUAAUACAUGCAAGUAGAACGCUGAAGGAGGAGCUUGCUUCUCUGGAUGAGUUGCGAACGGGUGAGUAACGCGUAGGUAACCUGCCUGGUAGCGGGGGAUAACUAUUGGAAACGAUAGCUAAUACCGCAUAAGAGUAGAUGUUGCAUGACAUUUGCUUAAAAGGUGCAAUUGCAUCACUACCAGUUGGACCUGCGUUGUAUUAGCUAGUUGGUGGGGUAACGGCUCACCAAGGCGACGAUACAUAGCCGACCUGAGAGGGUGGACUGCCACACUUGGAAUGAGACACGGCCCAGACUCCUACGGGAGGCAACAGUAGGGGAUCUUCGGCAAUGGACGGAAGUCUGACCGGGCAACGCCGCGUGAGUGGAGAAGGUUUUCGGAUCGUAAAGCUCUGUUGUAAGAGAAGAACGAGUGUGAGAGUGGAAAGUUCACGCUGUGACGGUAUCUUACCAGAAAGGGACGGCUAACUACGUG